GACGAACGCUGGCGGCGUGCUUAACACAUGCAAGUCGAGCGGAGCGGCGAACGGGUGCGUAACGCGUGAGUAACUGCCCCCCUCUCUGGGAUAACAGUUGGAAACGGCUGCUUAUCCCGGAUCGUGGGGGAUGACUCGCGUCCUAUCAGUUUGUUGGUGGGGUAGUGGCCUACCGAGGCGACGACGGGUAGCCGGCCUGAGAGGGCGACCGGCCACCAUGGGCUGAGAGACGGCCCAAACUCCUACGGGACGCAGCAGGGGGGAAUAUUGCACAAUGGGGGAAAGCCUAAUGCAGAGACGCCGGGUGAGUGAUGUCGGCCUUCGGGUUGGAAACCGCUUUCAGCCAUGACGCGGUAGUGGCAGAAGAAACACCGGCUAACUACGUGCCAGCAGCCGCGGUAAUAC
This 405-nucleotide ribosomal RNA is filed under the name uncultured bacterium. Its description in RNAcentral is "partial 16S ribosomal RNA". It matches the Rfam family "Bacterial small subunit ribosomal RNA", at positions 28 to 526 of the family's 1533-position model. The record is from RNAcentral.